This 1337-nucleotide ribosomal RNA is filed under the name metagenome. Its description in RNAcentral is "bacterial LSU rRNA". It matches the Rfam family "Bacterial large subunit ribosomal RNA", at positions 1564 to 2910 of the family's 2925-position model. The record is from RNAcentral.
UGAGUACGAGCUGCUACGGCAGCGAAGUGGGUGAUGUCAAGCUUCCAAGAAAAGCCCUAUACCCGUUAAGGCAUGAUGGCCUGUACCCGAAACCGACACAGGUGGGGUGGUAGAGAAUACCGAGGGGCGCGAGAUAACUCUCUCUAAGGAACUCGGCAAAAUGGCCCCGUAACUUCGGGAGAAGGGGUGCCACCGCAAGGUGGUCGCAGUGAAGAGGCCCAGGCGACUGUUUACCAAAAACACAGGUCUCCGCUAAGUCGCAAGACGAUGUAUGGGGGCUGACGCCUGCCCAGUGCCGGAAGGUUAAGGAAGCUGGUCAGCGUAAGCGAAGCUAGCGACUGAAGCCCCGGUGAACGGCGGCCGUAACUAUAACGGUCCUAAGGUAGCGAAAUUCCUUGUCGGGUAAGUUCCGACCCGCACGAAAGGCGUAACGAUCUGGGCGCUGUCUCGGAGAGAGGCUCGGCGAAAUAGAAUUGUCUGUGAAGAUGCGGACUACGUGCACCCGGACAGAAAGACCCUAUGAAGCUUUACUGUAGCUUGGUAUUGUGCCCGGGCUCUGAAUGCGCAGGAUAGGUGGGAGGCUUUGAUCCAUUGCUUGUGGGUGAUGGUGAGCCAACGGUGAGAUACCACUCUUUCAGAGCUAGGGUUCUAACGGUCACCCGUCAUCCGGGGACCGGACAGUAUCAGGUGGGCAGUUUGACUGGGGCGGUCGCCUCCUAAAAGGUAACGGAGGCGCGCAAAGGUUUGCUCAGGCUGGUUGGAAAUCAGCCGACGAGUGUAAAAGCAGAAGCAAGCUUGACUGUGAGACCUACAAGUCGAACAGGGACGAAAGUCGGCUUUAGUGAUCCGACGGUUCUGAGUGGAAGGGCCGUCGCUCAACGGAUAAAAGUUACUCUAGGAUAACAGGCUGAUCUCCCCCAAGAGUUCACAUCGACGGGGAGGUUUGGCACCUCGAUGUCGGCUCAUCGCAACCUGUGGCUGAAGUCGGUCCCAAGGGUUGGGCUGUUCGCCCAUUAAAGCGGUACGCGAGCUGGGUUCAGAACGUCGUGAGACAGUUCGGUCCAUAUCCGGUGCAUGCGCAGGAAUAUUGAGAGGAUUUCUCCCUAGUACGAGAGGACCGGGAGGAACGCACCUCUGGUGUGCCAGUUAUCGUGCCAACGGUAAACGCUGGGUAGCCAUGUGCGUAGAGGAUAACCGCUGAAAGCAUCUAAGUGGGAAGCCCACCUCAAGAUGAGUAUUCCCAUGGCGUUAGCCAGUAAGGUCACGGGCAGAACACCCGUUGAUAGGCUCUACGUGGAAGCCGGGUAACCGGUGAAGCGGAGGAGUACUAAUAGACC